RNAcentral lists this small RNA (2806 nucleotides) under Plasmodium reichenowi. Lineage: Eukaryota; Apicomplexa; Aconoidasida; Haemosporida; Plasmodiidae. The record is from RNAcentral.
UAUAUAUAUAUAUAUACAUUAAUUUUUUUUUUUUUUUUUUACUAUAUAUUUUGAUAGUAAUGAUACGAAUGUAAAAGUGGGCAUAUUUUGAUAAUUAAAAUGAAAUAUGUGUAAAUUAUAAUAAAUUCCAUUAAAUGGCAUUAUGAGAAUUAUAUAUUAUAAGAUGCAUAUAUAUAUAUAUAUAAACUUAUAAUGGUUUUAAAAGUAAAAGGGUUAUUGUAUAAGGAUAAGAAAUAUUAAAUAAAUUAAAAAGUAUAAAAUUGUACUUUUAUAGAUAGAUUUAUAAUCUAAGAAUAAUAUGUGAAAGAAUUAGAUAAUAAUAGGGUUGAUUGAAAGAACCUAGAAAAAAUAAGAAAACACAGUUUUAAUAUUAUAGAUGAUAGAGUUAUAUUGAUUUUACUUGAAGAAAUAAAGAUUUUAUUUAAGUAAAUUAAAAUAAAAAAGAAUGAAUUGUAUUAAGUUAAAAACAAUUGUAUCUAACAAUAAACAUAUAUAGCUCUAAAGAAAAAUUACUUAAGAGUCUUUAAAUCUUAAAUAUAAAUUAACACCUUAUAACAUUUGAUAAAGAUCAAAAAACAAUAUGAUGUAUUUAAAAUAUAUUAUUAUCUUGAAGAAGAUUUCAGAAAAAACAAAUAAAAGAACCUUUUAAGUUAGCACUCAGAAGCUUAAAAGAAAAGAAUAAGAUAAUAUUAUAAUACCUUAAAAUAACUAUAAAAAUGAGAUUUUUUUAUUUUUAUAUCAAAACGUUAAAUUGUUUGUACAAGAAAUAAACUGGAAUAAUAAAAAUAAAAUAAAAUAAAUAACUUUAGAACGUCAAAUACUAGAGUUACUUUUUAUUUGUCUCAAUAUAAUAAGAAGACUUUUUUAUGAACUUACCUGGUAAAUAUAAAUUAAAAAUUGAAGAUUACGAAGAAAAGGAAGAUGAAGAACAUUUAAAAAGAAGGUUACCUUUUAAGUAUUAUUAAUAUAUACAUAUAUAUAUAAUAUGAUGUAUGAAGAAAGGAAUUGGUAUUACAACAUAAAUAAAACUUAGAAGACAAAAAUGAAUAAAAAGUUGUAGAACAAAGAGAAGUUUUAUUAAACAUCUUGAGUAUAUCAAAAGAUAUAAGAUAAUUGAAACAGAAAUGUAUACAUAUAUGGGUAUGUUUUAUAAUUAAAUGAAAUCCAGAAAAAACAAAAUGAUGUACUCAAAGAUGUCUUAAAUAAAUAUAGAUAUGCAAGAACAGCAUGAUAGUUUCUUUUUUUUUUUUUUUUUUUUUUUUUGUAUAUACCAAUUCAACUAAUGGUUUUAUAUAAGAAGAGAAUUGACAUUUAAAAGGCAACGUUAAAAUAUAUAUCCAUAUAUGAAGAAGAAGAUUUAUUUUAAUUUAUUUUUUAUAUAUACCAAUGUCUAAAUGGUUUAUAGAAGAAAUGAACUGAGAUAAAAGUAAAGAAAGCUCAAAAAAAAAAAAAAAAAAGGUAUUAUGUAAUAGAUCAAGUGUGUGUGUAUGUAUAGAAGAAGAACACAUUAUAAAAACUAAUAAGGCAAACUCAGAACAAAAAAUGCUUCAGAAUUAAGGAAGCCAUAUUAUAAUUCAGAUAUGAUAAUCUCAGAAUUGACAAAACAGAAAAAAGGAAAUAAUUAUAUAUAUAUAAUGUGAUAGAGAAAUAAUAACUGUGUAUAAAAGGUUAUAUGCAAUAAGACUUUUUAAGAUAUGUUAUUAGAUACAUAAUAUUGUUAUGCACAGAAAACAGCAUAUAUGGAAUGUGUAUCGAAAUAUAAAAAGUUCAUAAAGAAAUUAUAUUGUUAAAUAUAGAAUCACACAAUAUGAUAUUGAAGAAAAACAGAAUGUUAUAGGUAAUACACAUAAGCAAUAUAAAUGAAUUGAAGAAAAACAACAUAAUUUUGGAAAAUGAGAGAAGAGUGUGUGUAUAUUUAGAAAAUUUAUUAUAUUCUAAACCCCAAGAAUAUUAUUGGAAAUUCUAAAUAUAUAUGUAUAUAUUUAUAUAAGCCUUUUAUAUAGAUAUGAAAUUUUUUUAUACUAUAUACAAAUCCCCUCGUGUGUAUAAUAUAGAGAACUUUUUUUAUUUAUAUUGGUAUACAAGAUUCUAUGGAAGAUUAAAUGUUAUGAGGAAAAAUAAUAUAUAUAUUUAAGAAAUAUUGCCCUUAAAAGUUUUAACUUAAUAUUGUUUUGCCAAAACUUUUAAUUUAUUUUUAUAUUUCUGAAAAAAUAUAGUUUUAAUCGUGUGUCUUAAAAGUAUAUAUUGUUAAUCAUGUUUUUUGAAAGAAUAUAGAUUUCUUUUAAUGUUCCUGAAAAGAUUUAAUACGAUCAGUAUUUUUUUGAGGAUAUAGUUUAUUUUGAUGUACUUUUGAGUAUAUAUAGUUUUUUUUAAUAUUUUGGAAAGAUUUAAUAUAUAAUCCUUUCACAAUUCUAUAAAGGCAGUACAUUAUUCUGUGUUUCUUAGAUUAUAUAAUUUUUUUUAAUGUUUUCAUGUUUUCAUAAUAAUUUAUGCAUAUAUUUUUUUAGUUUCUAUUGUUCACUGAUUCAUUCGUUGAACUUGUUUAUAGUAAAUGUUUUUAUAUAUACAAUAAAAAAAAAAAAAAAGUAAAAAAUAAAAAAUUAAAAAUAAAAAAUAAAAAGUAAAAAAUUAAAUAUUAAAAAUAAAUUAUUCAUAUACAUUAUACUUUUUUUUUGUAUACAUAAUAUUUUAUUAUUAUACAUAAUCUUUUUUUCUUAUACAUAGUCUUUUAUUCUUAUACAUAGUCUUUUUUUCUUAUACAUAGUCUUUUUUUCUUAUACAUAGACUUUUUUUCUUAUACAUAGUC